GAAAAACCAUUUUUUAAAGGACACAUACGAUGGUGUAUCUCUCUGUGUAAUGGUGAGCCAUGCUGCAAGGUUGUAGCCUUGGCCCGAAGACAGAAAAUUCUCUCUGCCCUGCUGUAUCAUAAAGCACACACUUAGUGCCCUGGAGCAAGUCCAUGACUCCACAUGACCUUGGAAGCUUUCUUCUCUCCAGAACAUUUGGAAAGGGGUAGAAGACCAUAUGGCUUACUUGUUCCAUAGCUCCAAGUGAGUCUGUAAUAAUGUUUGUGAAUCUUGACUGUAACAAUGUUGGGUUAUUUUUUGUUUGUUUGUUUGUUUAAUUAUGUAAAAAAAAACAAAAACAAAAAAAUAAGAAAAGAAAAACGCUUAAAAAAAAAAAACACAAACAAAACAAAACAAGAAACCCAGAAAUACCCUUAUCUGGUUCUGACCAGUGUGUGUGUAACUUUCCAAGAUCUGAGGGGAAAAUAGCUUUUGGGUUUUCAUUUAUUUUUUUGACAAAGACUGCACAUAAGAAGAAAAGGAAAAAAAUAUACUCAGAAAAAAAGUAUGAGACUCUUGCCAUAUGAACUCAAAAUCUACCAUGGCAUUCACUCCAUGUAGCAGGUUGUGGUGUCUCUAGAACCAAUUGUUAGUUUCCUAAUGCUUUGGUGAACCCAUGUGGGAUGACAAGCCGUUUGAAAAGCAGGUCCCCAGAUCUAAUUCCAAUAUUUGCCAUUCAAACCUGUAACAGAUGGGUUUGGGGCUGGUGUUAUCGGAGCUAUUGGUUUCACUUAACAAAUACUGUCCCUGUCCAUCAACCCAAAGUGUGUGAACGGGGAAAUGUAACCCCCAAGAAUUAAAGCAGAGCCUUUCUAAGGGAAGGAAAAAAGGGAAAGGGGGUGGACUGGAUCUGUGAAAUGCAUGCAAACAAAGAAAAAAAAAAACCCACAAAAAAGAAAAGACAAUGUUAGCAUCUGUUUCAACAGACUGCAAGGGAGUUCCUAACUUGUAACACAACCACAAGUGGUCACACAAGCCUAGUCAUGGCCAAGUGUGAAAAAUCAUAGUUACUUCCCCACCCCCAACAUAAUAACGGUUUCCAUAUGGUUUAACUUUGUAGCCUGAUGUGAGUAAAUCCUUCCCAUCUCCUCAUGUCUCCUUCCGCCCAUCUUUUUUUUUUAAAGACAAAUAAAUAAAUGAGUAAAGCUGCUGUGACACACACACAAAAGGAAUUUAAUAGUAUAAUAUAUAUAAAUAAAUAUAUAUACAGAUAUAUUUAUCAUGGUAUGUUUGAUGGGAUGACUGACACAGAAAUCUGUUAAAGUCUUGAAGUGGAAUGAGAAUGUUAUUUUAAAAGAAAAAUAACAAAACAACAAAAAAGUAAACCUUAAAAUGUGAAGAAAGUGUGAGUUUUCGUUUUGUCACAGUUAACUGUGUCAAAGAGAAUUUAAACAACAAACAACAGAAACUUCUCAGAUUUUGUUUACAUAUUUUACUACAUUUUUGCUGGUAUAAUCCCUUAGUCGUGUAUGUACCUACCGCUUUGAGAACUGUUAUUUCCUUUCUGUCUGUUUAUUUGGUUUGUGUCCCAUUCUCUUUCUGUCUUCUUUUUGUAAAGAGGAAACAAUGUACAGAGUAAUU
Molecule: long non-coding RNA, 1620 nt
Filed under: Mus musculus (house mouse)
Lineage: Eukaryota; Metazoa; Chordata; Mammalia; Rodentia; Muridae
Description: long non-coding RNA chr12:90332539-90334159
Source: RNAcentral